Molecule: long non-coding RNA, 1041 nt
Filed under: Pan troglodytes (chimpanzee)
Lineage: Eukaryota; Metazoa; Chordata; Mammalia; Primates; Hominidae
Description: long non-coding RNA NONPTRT003542
Source: RNAcentral
CCGGGAGAGACCUCGUAACGGAACUGGGACGCCAGCGCUGCAUUGUGGGAGCUUUUAAAGCGGCGGGGAGCUCGGCGCGACCCUCGGGCCCACCGGGCCACGCUCGCCCGGCCCGCGACGCCCCCCCGCUGUCGCCUGGCCCGCGACGCACCGAGGCCUGAGGACCCGAAAGCCGGGCGCGGGGAGAUGACCGGUGGCUCGUGACGGUCCCACGGGCAAAAUCUUCCAUCGCCCGGGGCUGAGACUUGUCAAACUGCCCUCUACGGUCACCCGGAAAGUAGGAGGCUUUUUCUGCAGAGGGAAAAAAAUCAAAAAGAGCCGUUCCAUCCCCCCUCCAAGGACUGGGUUUGAAUUGCUUUUCAUCUGCAGUGGCUGUGAUUCAGCGUCCCUCUUAGCAGCAGGCACUGACAGAGGCAGGAGAGGAAAAAAGAAAGAAAGAAAGAGAAAACACAGCAAAUGAAUCAAACGGACUUACUCCACACCUCAUUAGUUCCUUGACCUGCAGGUGGACUGAGAAGAGAGCCAUGCAGGUAGCAGGCAAGAGUGUGGUUAUCGUUGGACCAGGAUUCAGGAUCUGACCGAGUAGCUGACUCUUAAUCCAGUUUGUGUUGAUCACCAGGAGGAUCUGGACCUCAGUGUUAUCACAUCUAAAGGUGAUAUGCCAACUCCACCUUUGCCUUCCACCAUGUUUGGAAGCUCCCUGAGGCCUCACCAGGAGCAGAUGCUCGUCCCAUGCUUCCUAUAAGCCUGCAGAACUGUGAGCCAUAAUAAACUGUGAAUUAUAAAUUGCCUUUAUAGCAAUGCAAAUGGACCAGUACAGAUGGGAUGCUGGGAAGACAGUUGUUCCACCUUCAGUAAAGUCCAUGGAACACAGUUGUGACUAUAUUCUAGGCCAGCCAAGAUGCUUGUACUCAGAAAGGAGUGAUCUCAGGACCAUAAGAAAGUGAAAAAAUAAAAAUAAGAAAACAAAGAAGGGAUUGUCAAUGAAUCAGAAUUCAUCAAGGUCAAAGUCUUAGGAAAUUCCUUCAUGAGGAAGUCUAG